RNA transcript from Zingiber officinale, 4102 nucleotides. It is a transcript of the gene named peptide chain release factor 1, mitochondrial-like, with no coding region annotated. The record is from RefSeq and is a predicted model, not a curated record. The transcript is spliced from 9 exons. Lineage: Eukaryota; Viridiplantae; Streptophyta; Magnoliopsida; Zingiberales; Zingiberaceae.
AGUAAUUAAAGGUCGAAUUCGGCUCUUGGGGCGUUGUGUAGCUGCGGCCGGCGGUCGUGUCGUAGAACGACGACUGCGAGGUUCUCUUGGAGACCACCUCGCCGCUCCUGAGACCCUCUCCCAGCCGCGUCAUCGCCUUCCACGGCGUUAUCCUCUCCCGCGACCCUCUACUCUCCUCUUGAUUUCCUGCAAUCCGAUUUCCUCCGGCCUUUCUGUCUGCCGAGUAGAGAGAAGGCCGGAACUUUCAGUGCAGGAGCUUGCGCUGACGCCAUUUAAGUUUAGGGGAAUAUUAGAAGUACUUCUUGUAUCGCACUAAGAGCAUGCUAAGUAUGACAUGGAAAGAUAAAAGACCUUAGGAAGUACAAGGUAAAAGUGUCCAGAAGGGUGAGCAGAAUGAGAAAAUUAAUUUUGCAUUGGGGAAGGAACCUUUUUCGACGUCAUUGCUAUAGAAACAAGAAUUUAGUUUCCUCCUCUCCGAUGCCUGUUUUCGUAUCCAAUGUGUUGCUCCUGAUGACUUCUAGAGGAUACUCUACCGAAUCAAGUUCUGAGCUUCCACUUGACCUCCUCAGAAUCAUGAAACAGAGAAUAAUAGCAAUUGAACAGAAAAACUCCUACCUUCAACAACAAAUUAACCAGGAAGUAGUAUCAGUAGCUGAUUAUUCAAGAGCUAAUAAAGAGCUACGGGAACUUGAGAGCUCAAUGGAAUUAAUAAAACGGCUUAGAUCCAUAGAAAAGGUUUUCUCUAAAAUUUUGACUUGUUGCAUGUGUGUUAUGAGAGUUGCUAACAUUAUUGAACUCAACUUGAUCACUGUUUCUUGAUCCUUAUUAUUUUUUUUCACAUCCGGACACAUCAUUCAAAAGCCACAUGAACAGUGUAUAAUAAAACUACAUAGAGACAGAACAUCUGCAUAAUGUUUCUGCAAACCUCAUUCUGCAUACUUUUAAGUUAUGCACAAAUUUUCAAAGUGGUACGAUUUAGAAAACAUCAGCAAUCCUAGCAUACAAAUUUGUUGAAUAGAUUAUAUACAAUUAUGACUCUGUUUACAAUUUCAUUUAAACUUGAAACUGACAAAUACAAAAAAAUUCCCUAACCUCUGUGCCAACAUGUUAUUGUAUGUUUCUAACUCUUUGAUCUUUCAUAUGGUCAUUAAAUUAUCAGUUUAUAAUUGAUUGGUUGUUCAUAAUUACUAACCAGUAACCACCCUUAUCCUUCAAUAUUUAUCCACCAACCACUUCACCUUCCUAUUUCAACAAUUCUAAAAUAACCUGAUUAUUUUCUCGACUAAUGGGUACCUAUGGUCAUUUUUGCUUUUUCUAUAAUGUUUUUUUUUAAAUUUUUUUAUUAUCAUGUUACCGACCAUUUCUACAUGUGGUGUAAAGCAUUCUGAAUUUGAGAAAUUGACAAAUUUAUCCUGGUUAAUUUUUUUUUUGUCUUUGUUGAAAAUACAAUUAAAAUUCUGAAACAAUAUGAUUAUAUUUACACUUUCUUAAGUCUGUUUUCUUUUAAUGGAGAUUAUUUUCUUAUUCAUUUAUACUUUUAUAACUGAUUAUAUAAUCAUGUAAAUGGAAAAUACUUUAAUAUAAUGCAAAAGAUUAUUUGAUUUUUUUUUCACAUUUACUCAUCAUUAGCGCAUAGGAGAGACUGAGAAGAGCACAGGAAGAAGGCCAAGGGAAAAAAAAGCAAGAUGUUAGUCCUAGCAUAACUCCACUUAAUAUUAAUAUCUAAAGCAUAGAAAUAGCCAUCCUUUUUAUCCAAUGUUUCCACACAUGUAUCCCACAUGAAUAGACAGCAAAUUUAAAUGAAUUUGCUUUUAUGUUUCUUGUACAAGAGAAUGUACUCCUCAAGUUUCCUUUUUCAAGCGGCUGUAUUCACAUUUACCCAUCACACUCAAUCAAUAAAGUUCAAAUUGCUCAUGAUAAGAUCCUUCUCAUUUUAGAUUUGUAGACUAGGAAUAAUGAUCUGGUUACAGGAGAUUGAUGGUCUUAAAUCAUUGAUGUCUGACUGUGCUGAAGACAAAGACAUGAGCAACAUGGCAGCUGAGGAAUUAGAGCAAGCUCUAGUAGAGGAGAGAAGGUUUCAACAUUUACUGCUCAAGUCAUUGCUUCCUAAGGACGAUGCAGAUGAGAGAGAUUGCAUACUGGAGGUUAGAGCAGGUACUGGCGGCGAAGAAGCUUCAUUAUUUGCAAUGGAUAUAUUCAAAAUGUAUGUGUUCUUUCAAAAAAUAUGCAUGGUCUCACAAUUGAUUCUUAAAUAAAGAUAUGACAGGUAUGAAAAAUAUUCACAGAAGAGAGGUUGGAAUUUUGAUGUUAUUGCCAUAAUGGAAUCUAAUAUUAAAGGAUAUAAGGUAGUUUUCUGUUUUUGACUAGCUCUAACAUAUUUGAUCCACAUUUUGAAUGUUUGAGUAGAUACAUUUGGUCUCUUUUGUUAAAGCUUAGCUGAGAAUUGUUCAACAGGAAGCAAGUGGGACAAUAUCUGGACCUGGUGUAUAUGGUAGAUUGAAAUUUGAGAGUGGGAUCCACAGAGUUCAGGUUUAAGGAUGAUCAUUGAUCGUGUUCCGGUGACAGAGAAAUCUGGACGGGUGCAUACAAGUGCAGUUUCUAUUGCCAUACUUCCUCAAGCUGAUGAGGUCAUUCAUUUCAUAUACCUACUACUGUUGGAUUACCAUCAAAAGUUAAACAUCUUAUGUAAACGAUUCCCAGAACUAUACAAUGAAUGACAUAUUAGGUUGCAUUCAAUUUGCACCAUUUGAGAUCCAAUUUGAGCUCAAGUUCAUUCACAUAUCUUCCAUUAGUAAAUUUAGUUGGAUUCACUCUAAUUAUAUUGGCUACAGUCGUUUAAAAUGUCUCAGUUGAUUGUUCUGCCUUUAUUGCUGAAUUCUCCUUGCUAGUUACAGUUCUCAUUAUAAGUGUUCCAAAUUCAUAAGUUGGUACAUAGUUUUAUCUUCUUUACAAGAUAACUUUUAUUCAUUAAUUUCCAGAUCUUGGUUUGGCUUUAAAUCGUUUAGUAUGGUAAGUUAGGACUUGCUAUAUGUGUCACAGAUUCUGACUUCUUGAAGGUGUGACGUAAAUUGCAACUGUUCAAUCUGCACAACGGAAAGUGGAAAUUGUCAGUGCUAAAUAUGCUCCACUGGUGUGAUAUCUCCAUUGGUAUAUGUGAUCACACUAUGUAUAUUAUAGUUAGGUUAUCAAACCUUAGUUAAAUGCAGAAAGAGCUGAUUCGUCUGAAUUGCUAUCCUCAUCCACUCACAAAACUUCAGAUUAGACCGGUUCAUUCCUUCGAUAUGGCUUCAAUCAUGAAUCAUUCAAAACAACCCCAUUUAGUGUUCCUGAUCUCAAAUAAUUGGCUGCCAUAUUUUUAUUCAUUUGAAGUCUGCUUAGUUUUUCUAAUAGGAAUGCCUUCUCUGAAGUCAGAACUAUUCUUGUUUUAUUUCAUAUACUCUUAAACAUAAUACAUCUAUACAUUGUUGUCUUUUUUCCCCUCUAGGUUGAUGUCCAACUUCGAAAUGAAGACUUGAGGAUUGAUACUUAUCGAUCUGGUGGCGCUGGAGGUCAAUCUGUGAACACCACAGAUAGUGCAGUCAGGGUUACUCAUAUACCAACAGGAAUUGCAGUUGCGAUACAAAAUGAAAGAUCACAACACAAGAAUAAGGCAAAAGCGCUCGAAGUAUUGCGUGCUAGGCUGUAUGAAAUGGAGAGGUCGAGACUUCAUACGAGCAGGUCAAAACUUCGUGCGGAGCAGAUUGGAAGCGGCGAUAGGUCAGAGCGUAUCCGAACCUAUAAUUUCCCUCAAGGUCGAGUCACUGACCACCGAAUUGGGAUAACAAACCAUUCGAUAGAAGAUGUCAUGGAGGGAGAGUGCCUAGACGUGUUCAUCGAUGCUCUUCUCUUGCAAGAGGAAAUGGAUGCCAUUGCCUCAUUCAGCAGUCAGUGAUUGACAAAACAUAUUGGGUUCCUGGAAUGGAUUCAUCCAAGAAUAAGAAACAGCUCGUGGUCAGAAUCGAUAGUCUUCGGUUUUUGUUCGUUGGUGAUUUUGAAACUAGGAGAUUCCUUGCUACUAAAUUCCUUUGGUAUCUAUAAAGAUUCCAUCAUGUUGUUGAAUACC